RNAcentral lists this ribosomal RNA (611 nucleotides) under uncultured bacterium. RNAcentral describes it as "bacterial SSU rRNA". The stretch from base 1 to 515 matches the Rfam family "Bacterial small subunit ribosomal RNA", at positions 338 to 873 of the family's 1533-position model. The record is from RNAcentral.
CCUACGGGCAGCAGUGGGGAAUCUUGCGCAAUGGGCGAAAGCCUGACGCAGCAACGCCGCGUGCGGGAAGAAGGCUUUCGGGCUGUAAACCGCUUUCAGCAGGAACGAAAAUGACGGUACCUGCAGAAGAAGGAGCGGCCAACUAUGUGCCAGCAGCCGCGGUGAUACAUAGGCUUCAAGCGUUGUCCGGAUUUAUUGGGCGUAAAGAGUUCGUAGGCGGUCGAGUAAGUCGGGUGUGAAAAUUCUGGGCUCAACCCAGAGACGCCACCCGAUACUGCUUAACUUGAGUUCGAUAGGGGAGUGGGGAAUUCCUAGUGUAGCGGUGAAAUGCGCAGAUAUUAGGAGGAACACCGGUGGCGAAGGCGCCACUCUGGAUCGAUACUGACGCUGAGGAACGAAAGCAUGGGUAGCAAACAGGAUUAGAUACCCUGGUAGUCCAUGCCGUAAAACGGUGGGCACUAGGUGUGGGAUUCUAUUAACGAAUUCCGCGCCGUCGCUAACGCAUAGUAGCCGCCGUCGGAGGUACGGUCGCGAGAACGUAAACCGUUAAACGGUAAAGUUAGUACGGUCGUGAGACGUUAGUCCGAACGGACGACGACGAGGGAGGUAGG